RNAcentral lists this ribosomal RNA (528 nucleotides) under uncultured bacterium. Its description in RNAcentral is "bacterial SSU rRNA". It matches the Rfam family "Bacterial small subunit ribosomal RNA", at positions 981 to 1509 of the family's 1533-position model. The record is from RNAcentral.
CGUACAUCCAGAGAACUUAGCAGAGAUGCUUUGGUGCCUUCGGGAACUCUGAGACAGGUGCUGCAUGGCUGUCGUCAGCUCGUGUUGUGAAAUGUUGGGUUAAGUCCCGNAACGAGCGCAACCCUUAUCCUUUGUUGCCAGCGGCUCGGCCGGGAACUCAAAGGAGACUGCCGGUGAUAAACCGGAGGAAGGUGGGGAUGACGUCAAGUCAUCAUGGCCCUUACGGCCAGGGCUACACACGUGCUACAAUGGCGCAUACAAAGAGAAGCGACCUCGCGAGAGCAAGCGGACCUCAUAAAGUGCGUCGUAGUCCGGAUUGGAGUCUGCAACUCGACUCCAUGAAGUCGGAAUCGCUAGUAAUCGUAGAUCAGAAUGCUACGGUGAAUACGUUCCCGGGCCUUGUACACACCGCCCGUCACACCAUGGGAGUGGGUUACAAAAGAAGUAGGUAGCUUAACCUUCGGGAGGGCGCUUACCACUUUGUGAUUCAUGACUGGGGUGAAGUCGUAACAAGGUAAGCGUAGCGAG